UUUCAAGUCGUUACAAAACAAUGUGAAUGAACAUCAUUUAAACUUGUUUUUAUGAUAUUAAGUUUAAAAAAAAAUAAAAAAAUGUCACACUUAUUUAAAGAAAUAAACGACAUUUUGAUUUAAUCGAUGUCCCGUUUCAUCUGUUCAUAAUGCAUGACUGUGAUUUCGUAAUGCACGGGUGUGAUUUCGUAAUGCAUGACUGAUAUUUCGUAAUGCAUGACUGAGAUUUCGUAAUGACUGGCUGUAGCAAUUUUUCCGUUCAUAAUGACCAGAUGUUGAAAUUUUCCCUUUAUAAAGCAUGGGCAUUUCUAUACAUAUUGUAGUAAGUUGGUUAAUAAAAAU
This 342-nucleotide long non-coding RNA is filed under the name Mytilus galloprovincialis (Mediterranean mussel). The record is from RNAcentral. Lineage: Eukaryota; Metazoa; Mollusca; Bivalvia; Mytilida; Mytilidae.